UUUUGGACAAUGGGCGAAAGCGUGAUCCAGCAAUGCCGCGUGUGUAAGAAGGCCUUCGGGUUUAAAGCACUUUGUCCGGAAAGAAUCCGUCUGGCUAAUACCGGGAUGUGAUGACGGUACCGGAAGAAUAAGCACCGGCUAACUACGUGCCAGCAGCCGCGGUAAUACGUAGGGUGCGAGCGUUUAUCGGAAUUACUGGGCGUAAAGCGUGCGCAGGCGGUUUUGCAAGUCAGGUGUGAAAUCCCCGGGCUCAACCUGGGAACUGCACUUGUGACUGCAUGACUAGAGUGCGUCAGAGGGAGGUGGAAUUCCGCGUGUAGCAGUGAAAUGCGUAGAUAUGCGGAGGAACACCGAUGGCGAAGGCAGCCUCCUGGGAUGACACUGACGCUCAUGCACGAAAGCGUGGGGAGCAAACAGGAUUAGAUACCCUGGUAGUCCACGCCCUAAACGAUGUCAACUAGUUGUCGGGGACUCAUUUCCUCGGUAACGCAGCUA
This 495-nucleotide ribosomal RNA is filed under the name uncultured bacterium. RNAcentral describes it as "bacterial SSU rRNA". It matches the Rfam family "Bacterial small subunit ribosomal RNA", at positions 362 to 854 of the family's 1533-position model. The record is from RNAcentral.